This 133-nucleotide small nuclear RNA is filed under the name Mustela putorius furo (domestic ferret). Its description in RNAcentral is "U2 spliceosomal RNA". It matches the Rfam family "U2 spliceosomal RNA". From Rfam's summary of the family: U2 is a small nuclear RNA (snRNA) component of the spliceosome (involved in pre-mRNA splicing). Complementary binding between U2 snRNA (in an area lying towards the 5' end but 3' to hairpin I) and the branchpoint sequence (BPS) of the intron results the bulging out of an unpaired adenosine, on the BPS, which initiates a nucleophilic attack at the intronic 5' splice site, thus starting the first of two transesterification reactions that mediate splicing. The record is from Rfam by way of RNAcentral. Lineage: Eukaryota; Metazoa; Chordata; Mammalia; Carnivora; Mustelidae.
AUCGCUUCUCGGCCUUUUGGCUAAGAUCAAGUGAAGAAAUUGUGGUAUAAAUACAUAUUAGAGUGUUUUUCAGUCACCAGAAAAAAGGAAAGUCCUCAUUUGCAGCAAAAUGGCUGGAACUUGAGGACAUUAU